Molecule: ribosomal RNA, 450 nt
Filed under: uncultured bacterium
Lineage: Bacteria
Description: partial 16S ribosomal RNA
Rfam family: Bacterial small subunit ribosomal RNA
Source: RNAcentral
GUGGGGAAUAUUGCACAAUGGGGGAAACCCUGAUGCAGCCAUGCCGCGUGUGUGAAGAAGGCCUUCGGGUUGUAAAGCACUUUCAGCGAGGAGGAAAGGUUGAUGCCUAAUACGUAUCAACUGUGACGUUACUCGCAGAAGAAGCACCGGCUAACUCCGUGCCAGCAGCCGCGGUAAUACGGAGGGUGCAAGCGUUAAUCGGAAUUACUGGGCGUAAAGCGCACGCAGGCGGUUGGAUAAGUUAGAUGUGAAAGCCCCGGGCUCAACCUGGGAAUUGCAUUUAAAACUGUCCAGCUAGAGUCUUGUAGAGGGGGGUGGAAUUCCAGGUGUAGCGGUGAAAUGCGUAGAGAUCUGGAGGAAUACCGGUGGCGAAGGCGGCCCCCUGGACAAAGACUGACGCUCAGGUGCGAAAGCGUGGGGAGCAAACAGGAUUAGAUACCCCGGUAGUCC